ACCUGCAGAAGGAUCAUUAUAGAGUAAGCGGGCUCCGGCCCGGCGUCUCUCACCCUUUGUUUACCACACUUUGUUGCCUUGGCGCCUCGCGCGCCAGCGGACAGAAACCCUUGAAUCAUUGAUGUCUGAGUACUAUACAAUAGUUAAAACUUUCAACAACGGAUCUCUUGGUUCUGGCAUCGAUGAAGAACGCAGCGAAAUGCGAUAAGUAAUGUGAAUUGCAGAAUUCAGUGAAUCAUCGAAUCUUUGAACGCACAUUGCGCCCCCUGGCAUUCCGGGGGGCAUGCCUGUUCGAGCGUCAUUACAACCCUCAAGCUCUGCUUGGUGUUGGGCUCGCCCUGUAGGGCCUGCCUCAAAGUCAGUGGCGGCCACAGCCCGACCUUCAGCGCAGUAAUGCUCGCCGCUGCAAGGAGAGGCCUAGGCGCUAUACAACCCCCACUUUACAAGGUUGACCUCGGAUCAGGUAGGGAUACCCGCUGAACUUAAGCAUAUCAAUAAGCGGAGA
This 505-nucleotide ribosomal RNA is filed under the name Lophodermium pinastri. RNAcentral describes it as "eukaryotic LSU rRNA". The stretch from base 148 to 301 matches the Rfam family "5.8S ribosomal RNA". The record is from RNAcentral. Lineage: Eukaryota; Fungi; Ascomycota; Leotiomycetes; Rhytismatales; Rhytismataceae.